RNAcentral lists this ribosomal RNA (357 nucleotides) under uncultured bacterium. Its description in RNAcentral is "bacterial SSU rRNA". It matches the Rfam family "Bacterial small subunit ribosomal RNA", at positions 917 to 1269 of the family's 1533-position model. The record is from RNAcentral.
GGGCCUGCACAAGCGGUGGAGUAUGUGGCUUAAUUCGAUGCAACGCGAAGAACCUUACCUGGCCUUGACAUGCAUCUCUAAGUGUGUGAAAGCACAUGACCCCUCGGGGAAUUUGCACAGGUGCUGCAUGGCUGUCGUCAGCUCGUGUCGUGAGAUGUUGGUUAAGUCCCGCAACGAGCGCAACCCUUAUGUUUUGUUGCCACUUUCGCUUCGGCGGAAAGCACUCUAAACAGACUGCCUCGUCUCAACGAGGAGGAAGGUGGGGAUGACGUCAAGUCAGUAUGGCCCUUACGGCCAGGGCUGCACACGUACUACAAUGCCCAGUACAAUGGGAAGCAAUACCGCGAGGUGGGAGCA